GAUGAAGAACGUAGCGAAAUGCGAUAAGUAAUGUGAAUUGCAGAAUUCAGUGAAUCAUCGAAUCUUUGAACGCACCUUGCACCCUUUGGAAUUCCAAAGGGUAUGCUCGUUUGAGUGUCAUUGUACUCUCACACUCUCCGAUCCUUUGGAUUGGGAGCGGUGGACUUGGGUUUGCUGCUUGCCGUGGCUCACCUCAAAUGGAUUAGUGCAACUCUUGGUUGACCAUAGUACGGCGUGAUAAGUGUCUUCGCCGGCACCUCACUGGGUGGGCCGAUCGGGAGCUCUGUGCUUCAAACCGUCUUCGGACAACAACUGACAACUUGACCUCAAAUCGAGUAGGACCACCCGCUGAACUUAAGCAUAUCAAUAAGCGGAGGA
This 378-nucleotide unclassified non-coding RNA is filed under the name soil metagenome. Its description in RNAcentral is "partial contains 5.8S ribosomal RNA, internal transcribed spacer 2, and large subunit ribosomal RNA". The stretch from base 1 to 120 matches the Rfam family "5.8S ribosomal RNA", at positions 35 to 154 of the family's 154-position model. The record is from RNAcentral.